Molecule: non-coding RNA, 81 nt
Organism: Cordylochernes scorpioides
Lineage: Eukaryota; Metazoa; Arthropoda; Arachnida; Pseudoscorpiones; Chernetidae
Source: the annotation of a GenBank genome assembly
UCCCUCGAGCCGGAUUUGAACCAGCGACCUAUGAUCACCGUUGUAACAUCUACAGUUCUCUGCCAACUGAGCUAUCGAGGG